This 310-nucleotide ribosomal RNA is filed under the name Escherichia coli. RNAcentral's name for it is "bacterial LSU rRNA". It matches the Rfam family "Bacterial large subunit ribosomal RNA", at positions 1 to 306 of the family's 2925-position model. Lineage: Bacteria; Pseudomonadati; Pseudomonadota; Gammaproteobacteria; Enterobacterales; Enterobacteriaceae. The record is from RNAcentral.
GGGUUGUGAGGUUAAGCGACUAAGCGUACACGGUGGAUGCCCUGGCAGUCAGAGGCGAUGAAGGACGUGCUAAUCUGCGAUAAGCGUCGGUAAGGUGAUAUGAACCGUUAUAACCGGCGAUUUCCGAAUGGGGAAACCCAGUGUGAUUCGUCACACUAUCAUUAACUGAAUCCAUAGGUUAAUGAGGCGAACCGGGGGAACUGAAACAUCUAAGUACCCCGAGGAAAAGAAAUCAACCGAGAUUCCCCCAGUAGCGGCGAGCGAACGGGGAGGAGCCCAGAGCCUGAAUCAGUGUGUGUGUUAGUGGAAU